UACGAAGGGGGCUAGCGUUGUUCGGAAUCACUGGGCGUAAAGCGCACGUAGGCGGAUGUGUCAGUCAGGGGUGAAAUCCCGGGGCUCAACCUCGGAACUACCUCUGAUACAGCACAUCUUGAGUCCGGAAGAGGUGGGUGGAAUUCCUAGUGUAGAGGUGAAAUUCGUAGAUAUUAGGAAGAACACCGGUGGCGAAGGCGGCCCACUGGUCCGGUACUGACGCUGAGGUGCGAAAGCGUGGGGAGCAAACAGG
RNAcentral lists this ribosomal RNA (253 nucleotides) under uncultured bacterium. RNAcentral's name for it is "partial 16S ribosomal RNA". It matches the Rfam family "Bacterial small subunit ribosomal RNA", at positions 524 to 776 of the family's 1533-position model. The record is from RNAcentral.